AUGGGGUUAUAUUCGCUGCUAUCUAAAAAUGGAGAGAUUUCUCAAACAACCAAAUCUAAUAACACAUAUUGUGUUUCCUCCUCCGUAAAACGGAAGUGGGUGCGGCUGGACCACCAAAUCACUACGGAUCAUUUUGAGUCUGGGGGAGACUUGGGGUGCCUUGCAGGAAGAGGGGCCAGCCCAGCUCAUCAAACACUGAAGAAGCCCUGGAUAUCACUGCUGCUGCCGCCAGUUCCCAGAAUGUCCUCCACACACAGACAGAUAAGAGCUGAGGUCAUGAAACUAAUUUGCAUCUCAAAAAGAUCUACAUUUUCCUUUUAGGUGCUAGACACCGUGCUUUGGACUUUGCCUAUAGUCCUCAUUUCCAUCUUGCCCAGAGCCUGAUGCAGUAAGAUCUAUGAUUCUCUCUGUGUGACAGGUGAUCUGUUGGAGAUCCUACCCGAGUGACAAGCAGACUUGGAACUUGACCUCACAUUCAUUUGACUCCAAAACCCUUGUUUUUACUGAGUAUAUUUUCCUUGAAUGUUUUUCUGAUUAACUGAUUUUCCCUGAAGACAAUGGACCAGGUGGUUGACGGCCUGGACUCACCAUGCAGAAGAGCAAAGAAUCAGAUUUCAUUUUGGGGGAAAUGGUAAGAAUGUGUUUCCAAGAAAAGAUGCAUUCUGGGCUUGGGUACAGAAGAGGGAAAUUUGCUCCUGUGUGUUCUUAUCGGCCAUCGUUAAGACUUGCACCCUCUGCUCACUUCCCAGAACCCUGAAAUGACCACGUUUAUCAUCCAGGAAGGCUUGCUGAUGACCCUGGAGAAAUUGCUUAAACUCACAAAAACUGAUUUUUCAAAUGCAUAAAAUGACCAAUAGGAAUAGAGUUUUUCAAAGCUCAUUCCCAUCUCCACAUGGAUGCAUCAAGAAUUCUACUCAGGAGUUUGCCUUCACCAUUGAACCAGUUCUCUCAUAAUGAAGAUAAUCCAUUAUGGACAAUGUGGGUUUUUUUAAGGCUCAUAUGUACCAUGAUAUCUGUCUU
This 1020-nucleotide long non-coding RNA is filed under the name Oryctolagus cuniculus (rabbit). Its description in RNAcentral is "lncRNA (ENSOCUG00000032483.1)". Lineage: Eukaryota; Metazoa; Chordata; Mammalia; Lagomorpha; Leporidae. The record is from RNAcentral.